Molecule: ribosomal RNA, 253 nt
Filed under: uncultured bacterium
Lineage: Bacteria
Description: partial 16S ribosomal RNA
Rfam family: Bacterial small subunit ribosomal RNA
Source: RNAcentral
UACGAAGGGUGCAAGCGUUAAUCGGAAUUACUGGGCGUAAAGCGUGCGUAGGCGGUUAUUUAAGUCUGCUGUGAAAUCCCCGGGCUCAACCUGGGAAUGGCAGUGGAUACUGGAUAGCUAGAGUGUGAUAGAGGAUGGUGGAAUUCCCGGUGUAGCGGUGAAAUGCGUAGAGAUCGGGAGGAACAUCAGUGGCGAAGGCGGCCAUCUGGAUCAACACUGACGCUGAGGCACGAAAGCGUGGGGAGCAAACAGG